Molecule: ribosomal RNA, 554 nt
Filed under: Melongena melongena
Lineage: Eukaryota; Metazoa; Mollusca; Gastropoda; Neogastropoda; Melongenidae
Description: partial 12S ribosomal RNA
Source: RNAcentral
AAAACCAAGGGAUUAAGUUAUAUUGUAAGGUAAAAAGACAGUUAAGCUUACUAGCGUUUAGUUAAUUAAUCAUUUGUAUAAAGGUAAAAUUUGAAUACAGGUAGCAAAGACAUACAUAGCUAAUGAUCGAGCGGAAGCUGUGAUAAUCUUGAGGGAAACUGGGAUUAGAUACCCCAUUAUUCUUGAAUGUAAAUUUGAUUAGAUUUACCAGAGUACUAUGAAUCAUAUAAAAUUUAAAACUCAAAGGGCUUGGCGGUGUUUUAGACCUAUUAGGGGAACCUGUCCUGUAAUCGACAGUCCACGUUAAACCUGACCUUUUUUAGCAAUCAGCUUGUAUACCGUCGUCGUCAGGUAACUUUUAAAAAAUUAGAAGUUAGCUAAUGUAAUUUUUAUAAAUUAAAACGUCAGAUCAAGGUGCAGCCAAUAAAAAGGAAAGGAUGGGUUACAAUUAUAUUCUUAUAAUUACGGAAGAUUAUGUGAAAGCGUAAACGGAAGGAGGACCUUAAAAGUAAAAUGUAUUACAUAAAUAAUUUGAAUAAGGCUCUGAAACGUGC